RNAcentral lists this transfer RNA (63 nucleotides) under Podarcis lilfordi (Lilford's wall lizard). RNAcentral's name for it is "tRNA.Asn". It matches the Rfam family "tRNA", at positions 9 to 63 of the family's 71-position model. From Rfam's summary of the family: Transfer RNA (tRNA) molecules are approximately 80 nucleotides in length. Lineage: Eukaryota; Metazoa; Chordata; Lepidosauria; Squamata; Lacertidae. The record is from RNAcentral.
GCAGCUCAGCUGGCAGAGCAUGAGACUGUUAAUUUCAGAGUUGUGGGGUCGAGCCCCACACCU